AACGAACGCUGGCGGCAUGCCUAACACAUGCAAGUCGAACGAAGGCUUCGGCCUUAGUGGCGCACGGGUGCGUAACGCGUGGGAAUCUGCCCUUUGGUUCGGAAUAACAGCUGGAAACGGCUGCUAAUACCGGAUGAUGACGAAAGUCCAAAGAUUUAUCGCCAGAGGAUGAGCCCGCGUUGGAUUAGGUAGUUGGUGGGGUAAAGGCCUACCACGCCGACGAUCCAUAGCUGGUCUGAGAGAAUGAUCAGCCACACUGGGACUGGGACGCGGCCCAGACUCCUACGGGAGGCAGCAGAGGGGAAUAUAGGACAAUGGGCGCAAGGCUGAUGCAGCAAUGCCGGGUGAGUGAUGUAGGCCCUAGGGUUGUAAAGCUCUUUUACCCGGGAAGAUAAUGACUGUACCGGGAGAAUAAGCCCCGGCUAACUCCGUG
Molecule: ribosomal RNA, 433 nt
Filed under: uncultured bacterium
Lineage: Bacteria
Description: partial 16S ribosomal RNA
Rfam family: Bacterial small subunit ribosomal RNA
Source: RNAcentral